This 253-nucleotide ribosomal RNA is filed under the name uncultured bacterium. RNAcentral describes it as "partial 16S ribosomal RNA". It matches the Rfam family "Bacterial small subunit ribosomal RNA", at positions 524 to 776 of the family's 1533-position model. The record is from RNAcentral.
UACGUAGGGUGCAAGCGUUGUUCGGAAUCAUUGGGCGUAAAGCGCGUGUAGGUGGCUAGUAAAGUCGAGUGUGAAAGCCCUGAGCUCAACUCAGGAAGUGCAUUCGAAACUGGCUGGCUAGAAGAUGGUAGAGGAAGGUGGAAUUCCAAGUGUAGAGGUGAAAUUCGUAGAUAUUUGGAGGAAUACCGGCGGCGAAGGCGGCCUUCUGGGCCAUUCUUGACACUGAGACGCGAAAGCGUGGGUAGCAAACAGG